RNAcentral lists this unclassified non-coding RNA (253 nucleotides) under uncultured Planctomycetota bacterium. RNAcentral's name for it is "uncultured planctomycete contains 16S-23S intergenic spacer region". It matches the Rfam family "Bacterial small subunit ribosomal RNA", at positions 524 to 776 of the family's 1533-position model. The record is from RNAcentral. Lineage: Bacteria; Pseudomonadati; Planctomycetota.
GACGAAGGUGGCAAGCGUUGUUCGGAAUCACUGGGCAUAAAGCGCGCGUAGGCGGUCAGCUAAGUCGGAUGUGAAAGCCCUCGGCCCAACCGAGGAACUGCGUCCGAAACUGGUAGACUUGAGGAUCGGAGAGGUGCAUGGAAUUCCUGGUGGAGCGGUGAAAUGCGUUGAUAUCAGGAGGAACACCGGAGGCGAAGGCGAUGCACUGGCCGAUCUCUGACGCUGAGGCGCGAAAGCCAGGGGAGCAAACGGG